RNAcentral lists this long non-coding RNA (1118 nucleotides) under Triticum aestivum (bread wheat). RNAcentral's name for it is "long non-coding RNA (TAES_LNC002993)". Lineage: Eukaryota; Viridiplantae; Streptophyta; Magnoliopsida; Poales; Poaceae. The record is from RNAcentral.
UCGUCUUUUUACUAAACAGAAGUGAACCAUCAAAUUCUUAUGAAAAAUCGAGAGCAAAUUGUGGACUUCAUGAUACCGAGCUGCAUGACCAGGGAACACACUACAGAAUCUCCGAGGCGAUGAAGCCCGUGCUCGAGCGAGCCACUGAGCUGCACCACGGCGACCACUGGAGUGCACUGCGUUGCUACCGUCGUCGCCGACGCGCCCCCAAACUGCACCCACAGGAGUACUGAGCCGCAUCUAAUGCCAGCGAGACGCACGUCCGUGGUCGCCGUACUGCACAGAAGAUAUCAUCAAAGUUUCUAAAAAACACUAGAAAAAUGCUUCUAAAAAACACUAGAAAAAUGCUUCUGAAUGGAGCGCUGGACUACGUGCCGCAUCGGGCCGCAUUGCAACAGGGCAUUGGAGAUGGCCGGCAAGCGGGUGUUGAUGGCUCUGCCAGGGCUCGUCGCGGCCGGAGCGGGUGCUUGCGAGCUGCGGACUGCACAAGCGAACGCGCCACACUGCCACUAGUCGGACGCGCGUCGGGGAGGAAGCCGCAGUGCCGCGUCGGAGGCUGAGAUGUGGAGCACACCCCUCCUCCCUGGAUGUGGCACCGAGAGGACGAUGGAGACGGAUCCAGGAGAGGGGAAGGACGGUGGAGACGGAUCCGGGGGAUAACCGCCCGCGCUGCAAGACGGAACACCGAUGGAGCCGCUGGACCGCCGGGGAGAUGAAACACAGCUGGAGAAGGGGGCAGAGCAACGGUGGCCAUCGGCGCUGGCCAAAUCGAUGGCAGCUGCUCGGCGCAAGAAGGCCAUCUGGAGGGGAUAUAAGGUCGCGACAGCCCUCCCCAUCGGCGGAUCCGGCGCGUACUCCGCCAGAUGUGGUUGGGUCGGGGCGGCAGCGGCCGAGGCGGUGGUGGGCCAUGCGCGGGGAAGAAGGUGGGAGGAGGAAGGGGUCCAGGGGCGGCAGCGGCCGGGGCGGUGUUGCGCCAUGCGCAGGGAAGAAGGUGGGAGGAGGAAGGGGUCCAGGGGCGGCGGCGGUUUCGGGUGUGGUGGCGGCAGAAGGUGGAGAGAGAGGUUGGGGUGUGGGACAUGGUGGCGAGCGGGGAAGAAGGUGGGUAAGGUGGUGGUGGN